Molecule: non-coding RNA, 890 nt
Organism: Paramuricea clavata
Lineage: Eukaryota; Metazoa; Cnidaria; Anthozoa; Malacalcyonacea; Plexauridae
Source: the annotation of a GenBank genome assembly
GCGCAUGGUGACAGCAAGCUCAUGUGUAUAAGUACGGUGGUCAUCACGUAUCUCGACGUGCAACAAGCCAAAGAUGACGCGUAGAACGCCGAGACAUUCAUAAUAUCAUAUAUAAUACAUCAUCUCAGAUAUGCAUGCACCCAACAUCCGUUUAUCCGCUAUCUGUACAUCUGGUGUCCGUUUACCUGGUAUCCUGUAUCCGUUGAUCUGGUAUCCGUCUAUCCAAUACCCGUGUUAUUUGCCAUGACUUUCUUAAUUAAGGCGGAUUUCCAUUCAAUGCAAGAUGUCGCGCGAUCGACAUUUUGCGAUCACUUUCUUUCGAAAUACAAGCAAUCAAACGCAACGGAUGAGGUUGACUGAACACAUUUCAAAAGAAAGUGAUCGCAAAAAGUUGAUCUCGCGAUAUUUUGCACUGAAUGGAAAUCGGCCUUUAGCCUGAGUUUCAGGCUCUAUGCUUGAACGCAGGCCAUGCCCUAUACGUCUAAAAUAUGGAUUUCCAAACUAUUCACGCUAUAUACAUGUCCAAAUCGUUGAAAAUUUCUAAACUAUAUCAUGAACUCCUAGUAAAUUGUACUGUGCACGUCUAAAUUAUCUUAUGGAAAUACCUAAUUUGGAUUCGGAUAUGUAGAAUAAAAAUUGAGCGCAAGGAUAACAUAUUUUGAAAGUGAAUUUUGACAUGAAUAUAAACGCUUCAUAACAACGAAGUUAUUACGACACAAGUUUGUUGUACGAUCCCAUGACGAUAAGAUAAUAUUUUUUUGUAGAAAAAUUUGCUUAUUAUUCCUAAGCUUUCGAUAUAGGGAGACUGCGGGUGCCACCGAUAAUAUUUUUGUAGCUGAGAAUUGUUUUUAAACGUGCGCAUGCUCAAUUCCCACCAGUUGUUUGCAGCC